UACAGAGGGGGCAAGCGUUGUUCGGAAUUACUGGGCGUAAAGGGCGCGUAGGCGGCCUACUAAGUCGGAUGUGAAAUCCCCAGGCUUAACCUGGGAAUUGCAUCCGAUACUGGAUGGCUUGAAUCCGGGAGAGGGAUGCGGAAUUCCAGGUGUAGCGGUGAAAUGCGUAGAUAUCUGGAGGAACACCGGUGGCGAAGGCGGCGUUCUGGACUGUUACUGACACUGAUGAACGAAAGCCAGGGGAGCAAACGGG
This 253-nucleotide ribosomal RNA is filed under the name uncultured bacterium. Its description in RNAcentral is "partial 16S ribosomal RNA". It matches the Rfam family "Bacterial small subunit ribosomal RNA", at positions 524 to 776 of the family's 1533-position model. The record is from RNAcentral.